ACUCAGCAGCUACACUAGAAGGAUAGAACAAGGAAAGCAUGGGACUGAAGAGUAAGAGUGUACCUGAGGCUCUGAACUGUGAAGUGGGUGUUGGCAGGAGUCCCUGAACAGGGCAGUCAGGUCAGAGUGUGCUCAAGGUUGAAGGAGACAAUGGACACGUUGCUAAAGACUGGGGGCAGGCACACCACUGAAACAUAUAGACAUAUAGAGAGAGAGGGAGGGAGACGCAGACAAAAAAAAUAUAAAAUGAUAAGACAGUCACAGAACAGGACAGCCAGAGAGACAGGUAUUAAACAGGACACCAGCCAGAAAGACAGGUAUUAAACAGGACACCAGCCAGAAAGACAGGUAUUAAACAGGACACCAGCCAGAGACAGGUAUUAAACAGGACACCGGCCAGAAAGACCGGUAUUAAACAGGACACCAGCCAGAGAGACAGGUAUUAAACAGGACACCAGCCAGAGACAGGUAUUAAACAGGACACCAGCCAGAGAGACAGGUAUUAAACAGGACACCAGCCAGAGAGAGAUAUUAUAGUAGAGCAAAAUAUUAGUACCAGAGAUACACAAAUCAAACAUGUCAAGAUACUGUAGGUAACGGAAGCUGCUCUUUCCAUGACACACUGACCAAGUGAAUCCAGAUUAAAGCUAUGAUCCCUUAUUGAUGUCACUUGUUAAAUCCACUUCAACCAGUGUAGAUGAAGGGGAGGAGAGGGGUUAAAGAAGGAUUUAUAAGCCUUGGGACAUACAUUGUGUGUGCCAUUCAGAUGGUGAAUGGGCAAGACAAAAUAUUUAAGUGUCUUUGAAUGGGGUAUGGUAGUAGGUGUCAGGCGCACCGGUUUGAGUGUCAAGAACUGCAUCGCUGCUGGGUUUUUCACGCUCAACAGUUUCUUGUGUGUAUCAAGAAUGGUCCACCACCACAUCCAGCCAACUUGACACAACUGUUGGAAGCAUUGGAGUCAACAUGGGCCAGCAUCCCUGUGGAACGCUUUCGACACUAUGUGGAGGCCAUGGCCCGACGAAUUGACUGAUCUGAGGGGUGCAACUCAAUAUUAGGAAGGUGUUCCUAAUGUUUUGUACACUCAGUGUAUUUCUUUGCUGUCCAUUUUGAUGUAAUAUUUUGAAGUGUUUGCUGUAUUAGUUGUGUUUCUGUGGUUUGAAGGAUAUCUGUCAGGAACAUGAAACUUAUAAUGUUGUACUGAAUAGUUUCUUAACUGUGUUUAUAACAAACAAUGAAACAAAAUGUUCAGAUGGUAGAAAAAUGUUUUAUUACAUACAACAUUAAGGAUUUAAAAAAGAUUUAUAAAAAAUUAAUUGGCGUGAACAAAUAUGACAUUUAUUUUACCGAUAAACGUUGAUUGCAAAAUUUGUAUAAUACACACUUCAAAAGGACUACUUUUUCCUGAAUAUAUAACAGAUUAAAUGUUUCUUACAAUAUAGCAAAAAGCAAGUAAACAAGUACUACUACGAUGAUCGCAUAAACACUAAAAAGUAUGUUGACCUUCUGAAUAAGUACAGAAUACUGUAUUGUAUAGCUUGACCAGUGAUGACCUUGACGUUUGCCCGUUAGCAUUAGUACUACUGGCUAAUGCGGUCUGUGAACAUCGAUAAUAUAACCCCAAAGUACUUGUAGACCGAAUGUAACUUUUGAUAAUGGCUCUCACAUUCAAGUUAGCAACUUGAGAACUCCGCUGAGGUAAUAUGUACUUUACAUUGCUAACACACUAAAACGACAUGCACAGCACACUUAUUUAAAAUGACACACAGGGAGCAAAACCUCUUCUCAAUUCUCCAAAAGUCUAAAGACAUUUUCUGCUUUCCACACAUUUUGCAUUCAAAAUGACACUUUUUUAAAUGCACUACACACG
Oncorhynchus tshawytscha (Chinook salmon) is the source of this 1867-nucleotide long non-coding RNA. The record is from Ensembl. NCBI's taxonomy places the organism in Eukaryota, Metazoa, Chordata, Actinopteri, Salmoniformes, Salmonidae.